CCGAGCACAUGGGCCCGCGGGCCAGGCGGGCUCGGGGCUGCCUGGACGAGGAAGACUGGCCAGGAGCCGGAGGAACACGGUGGUCCCCGGCACCCCUCGGCCAACCCCGAGUGGAUUUGCAAACGGAAAGUAUGUCCGCGGCCCCGGUGACCUUUGGAGACACGGCUGGAUCCACCCUCCA
Non-coding RNA from Choloepus hoffmanni (Hoffmann's two-fingered sloth), 181 nucleotides. Lineage: Eukaryota; Metazoa; Chordata; Mammalia; Pilosa; Megalonychidae. The record is from Rfam.